This 417-nucleotide ribosomal RNA is filed under the name uncultured bacterium. Its description in RNAcentral is "bacterial SSU rRNA". It matches the Rfam family "Bacterial small subunit ribosomal RNA", at positions 54 to 458 of the family's 1533-position model. The record is from RNAcentral.
CAUGCAAGUCGAACGCGAAAGUGGCUUCGGCCGCGAGUAGAGUGGCAAACGGGUGAGUAACGCGUGGGCGACCUGCCCUCGAGUGGGGGAUAACGUUCCGAAAGGGGCGCUAAUACCGCAUGACAUCCCGUCCUUGAAGGGGCGGCGAUCGAAGCCGGGGACCGCAAGGCCUGGCGCUCGAGGAGGGGCCCGCGUCCGAUUAGCUGGUUGGUGAGGUAACGGCCCACCAAGGCGACGAUCGGUAGCCGGCCUGAGAGGGCGGACGGCCACACUGGGACUGAGACACGGGCCCGACUCCUACGGGAGGCAGCAGUGAGGGAUAUUGCGCAAUGGGCGAAAGCCUGACGCAGCAACGCCGCGUGGGGGAGGAAGGCCUUCGGGUCGUAAACCCUUUUUCUGGGGGACGAGGAAGGACGG